RNAcentral lists this ribosomal RNA (1507 nucleotides) under Cutibacterium acnes SK187. RNAcentral describes it as "16S ribosomal RNA". It matches the Rfam family "Bacterial small subunit ribosomal RNA". The record is from RNAcentral. Lineage: Bacteria; Bacillati; Actinomycetota; Actinomycetes; Propionibacteriales; Propionibacteriaceae.
UUUUCAUUGGAGAGUUUGAUCCUGGCUCAGGACGAACGCUGGCGGCGUGCUUAACACAUGCAAGUCGAACGGAAAGGCCCUGCUUUUGUGGGGUGCUCGAGUGGCGAACGGGUGAGUAACACGUGAGUAACCUGCCCUUGACUUUGGGAUAACUUCAGGAAACUGGGGCUAAUACCGGAUAGGAGCUCCUGCUGCAUGGUGGGGGUUGGAAAGUUUCGGCGGUUGGGGAUGGACUCGCGGCUUAUCAGCUUGUUGGUGGGGUAGUGGCUUACCAAGGCUUUGACGGGUAGCCGGCCUGAGAGGGUGACCGGCCACAUUGGGACUGAGAUACGGCCCAGACUCCUACGGGAGGCAGCAGUGGGGAAUAUUGCACAAUGGGCGGAAGCCUGAUGCAGCAACGCCGCGUGCGGGAUGACGGCCUUCGGGUUGUAAACCGCUUUCGCCUGUGACGAAGCGUGAGUGACGGUAAUGGGUAAAGAAGCACCGGCUAACUACGUGCCAGCAGCCGCGGUGAUACGUAGGGUGCGAGCGUUGUCCGGAUUUAUUGGGCGUAAAGGGCUCGUAGGUGGUUGAUCGCGUCGGAAGUGUAAUCUUGGGGCUUAACCCUGAGCGUGCUUUCGAUACGGGUUGACUUGAGGAAGGUAGGGGAGAAUGGAAUUCCUGGUGGAGCGGUGGAAUGCGCAGAUAUCAGGAGGAACACCAGUGGCGAAGGCGGUUCUCUGGGCCUUUCCUGACGCUGAGGAGCGAAAGCGUGGGGAGCGAACAGGCUUAGAUACCCUGGUAGUCCACGCUGUAAACGGUGGGUACUAGGUGUGGGGUCCAUUCCACGGGUUCCGUGCCGUAGCUAACGCUUUAAGUACCCCGCCUGGGGAGUACGGCCGCAAGGCUAAAACUCAAAGGAAUUGACGGGGCCCCGCACAAGCGGCGGAGCAUGCGGAUUAAUUCGAUGCAACGCGUAGAACCUUACCUGGGUUUGACAUGGAUCGGGAGCGCUCAGAGAUGGGUGUGCCUCUUUUGGGGUCGGUUCACAGGUGGUGCAUGGCUGUCGUCAGCUCGUGUCGUGAGAUGUUGGGUUAAGUCCCGCAACGAGCGCAACCCUUGUUCACUGUUGCCAGCACGUUAUGGUGGGGACUCAGUGGAGACCGCCGGGGUCAACUCGGAGGAAGGUGGGGAUGACGUCAAGUCAUCAUGCCCCUUAUGUCCAGGGCUUCACGCAUGCUACAAUGGCUGGUACAGAGAGUGGCGAGCCUGUGAGGGUGAGCGAAUCUCGGAAAGCCGGUCUCAGUUCGGAUUGGGGUCUGCAACUCGACCUCAUGAAGUCGGAGUCGCUAGUAAUCGCAGAUCAGCAACGCUGCGGUGAAUACGUUCCCGGGGCUUGUACACACCGCCCGUCAAGUCAUGAAAGUUGGUAACACCCGAAGCCGGUGGCCUAACCGUUGUGGGGGAGCCGUCGAAGGUGGGACUGGUGAUUAGGACUAAGUCGUAACAAGGUAGCCGUACCGGAAGG